GCUGACCGUCGCCAUCACUAUGGGAAUUAUGUUUACUUUGGUGCCACAGCGUAAGGCCUGGAUAUCUAAAGUGACCAUUCCUUGCAUGAUUGCUGGAAACAUCGCCAACUGCAUGACUGGAUGCUUUGCAAGUCUUUUCUACUAAAGGUUCAGGCGUGACACAGCAGCGGACUAGGAUGGAGAAAGUGAUGCAAGGGCUGAAUCGAAAGAAGCUUUUUGAAAGGAGAGGGCUUUUUGCCUACCUCCUUUGACAAUACGAUUGUUAGUAUAUGUAAUUUACCGUCGAGAAGUAUGAAGGACCGCCAUAAAGUAAAAUGAGAGAGAGAGAGAGAGAGAGAGAGAG
This is a long non-coding RNA of Aplysia californica (California sea hare), 343 nucleotides long. RefSeq lists it as uncharacterized. NCBI's taxonomy places the organism in Eukaryota, Metazoa, Mollusca, Gastropoda, Aplysiida, Aplysiidae. The transcript has 2 exons. The record is from RefSeq and is a predicted model, not a curated record.